UUGGAGUAUGGAACAUCGAGUUAUUAUAUUUUGGUGUUGUUGUGUACUGUUGAACCUCUGCCAUGUACUGCACUGUACAACAAGUUUUAAAGUGACCCCAAGAUUAAUAAGAAAAACAAGGGAGAAAAGAGAGAGUUACAUGUCUCUCCAGAUAGAACUUCAGAUGCUGGACAGGGGACCAAUCUUACUAAAUCUAAACAGGAAUGAAGGGUUGAUGCUAGGGUCUGGAGUAGUGGAGUAUGUCUAUGCAAAUGGAACCAAAACAAUUGAACCUAUUCUUGCAAGAGAAUCCCUGGAUUGCCUCUACAUAGGAUCUGUGGACAAGGAGAUAUCAAGCCUAGUUGCGGUUAGUGUCUGUGAUGGUAUAUCUGGAUAUAUACAGAGAGAGGAAGAUGGAUAUAUCAUUAAACCUUGUACUGAGAACCCAACCCUUGAGUCAGAACACUCUAUGGAGAUCAUUCCUCCGUACAUUAGGAAUCCACAGGAGAAGAAGGAUAAUAUGAACAACCCCGAUCUUAGAGAAAGCGAGAUACAUAAAGGAUUCGGAACCUUAGUUGAAGAGUACACGGGUAUGACAGAAGGAGACAGGAACAGUACUCUAAGUCUAUCCGGAGAACAGAACAGCACUUUAGGUAUAUCCGGAGAACAGAACAGCACUUUAGGUAUAUCCAGAGAACAGAACAGCUAUUUAGGUCUAUCCGGAGAACAGAACAGCAUUUUAGGUCUAUCCGAAGAACAGAACAGCACUUUAGGUCUAUCCGAAGAACAGAACAGCACUUUAGGUCUAUCCGGAGAACAGGAAAGUACUCAAGGUGUACCAGGAGAACAUGAAAGUGCUCUGAAUGUGGCAGGCGAACAGAACGGUAUUCAACGUUUAUCAGGAGAACAGAACAGUACUCAAAGAACAAAAGAACAGGACAGUACUUUAACUGCUGCGCAAGUUCUAAACCGAUCCCGGAGAAGUCAGAAAGAUGAGUUAAUUACGAACUCUGGCUUGAGUGGGGAUGAGGAUGUAUUUCAUUGGUACGAUGUGAACCUGGAUGACGCAAUGGCUGAGACGGAUUCUAACUCUGACCUGGAUUGGAUGGGUCAUGUACUAGGUGAUGUUUGGCAGGUUGAUACUGCCGCUGCUCGGAGAAAAGUGCAAAGACAGAAAGGACAUAUUGUCUGUAACGGACCCUACUGUGAGUACUUUAGAGUAAAGAAGGACGAACCCAAAUGGUUGGAAACAGCUUUAUAUAUUGAUCAUUCAGUUAUUCAAUUCCAUGGCAAGGAUACUGUGAAGCAAUAUAUUCUAACCCUGAUUAAUAUAGUUAGUGCUAUAUACGGAGAUCCAACCCUGGGAGCCAACCUCAAGUUUGUGAUUACAAGAAUGAUCUUCUAUGAUGAUGAAUCUAUAAAUCCAAUAGUGGAAGAUGAUUCUAAAGCUUCUCUGGAGAACGUGAACUCCUGGAACACUGCUGUCUGGAGAGGUCUGGAUAAGGGUGAGAGGCAUGAUAUCUCGGUUUGGUUAACAAGAAAGAAUAUCGGAGGUCCGUCUGGAUACGCUCCUGUCUCCGGAGUCUGUGAUCCGGAGAGAUCUUGUUCUCUGAACCGAGAUGAGGGCUUGUCCAGUGCAUUCAUCUUGGCACAUGAGCUGGGACAUAUUCUGGGUUUAUCUCAUGAUGGAGAUCUAGGAGCAGGGAACACCUGCUCCAAGGAGUCCAACGAGGGGAGUAUCAUGGCCUCUAUGGUGGCAGCAACCUUCUCCUACUUCCAUUGGUCCUCCUGCUCUGCCGGAGAAUAUCAUUUCAAGUCUAACCAAUGGUCUUGUAUGAGAAACAAACCUAAAUCUACCUUCAACUAUACAUUUAUCAGUGAGAAAAUUGAGUACGAGUACAGUCUAGAUGAUCAGUGCCGGAUGGAGUUUGAUCAGGGAUACUCGUUCUGUCGGAGUUUUCAACUCUCUGAUCCUUGUGCCCAUCUUUGGUGCACUCAUAACAACAACCCGGAGCUUUGUAAGACUAAGAAAGGUCCGCCCAUGGACGGGACGGCUUGCGGUAAGAAUAAAUGGUGCAUAAACGGAUACUGUGAAUCUACAAGUAAGAGUUUAGAAAGUAAGGAUGGGUUGAGACACAAUGCUCUCUCCGGGGGCUGGAGCAGCUGGAGUAGAUGGGGAGAUUGUACCCGAACCUGCGGAGGAGGUGUUAGUUUCCGAACCCGGAGAUGUGAUAAUCCCAGACCGUCUUACGGAGGUAAACCCUGUCCUGGUAUUUCUGAAGAGUAUCAGCUUUGCAACAUCUACAGAUGCAUUAAAUAUGAAGAUUUCAGAGCAGAUCAAUGCAACACAACCUUCCAGCUCAUCACCGGAGAUUCAACCCACAAAUCUCAAGAAUGGUUGCCAUAUGAACACGAAGAUUUAAAAUAUAAAUGUAGGCUUGCCUGUUAUAAUACUAAAACUAAAGAACACGUGAUGACAGAUGAUCAUGUGAUCGACGGAACACCGUGCUCCUAUGAUCAUCCCAGUAAUAUCUGUAUCCAAGGAACCUGUGUGGAGGUUGGGUGUGAUAAAAUACUUGGAUCUCCGCUAGAAGAAGACCAGUGUGGAAUUUGUGCCGGAGACGGGACGAAAUGUAUCACUGAGAGAGAAACUAUCCAGAGAAAAGUGAACAAGAUGUUCACCAAAGUAUUCCUUCUCCCUGCGGGUUCAAGAUGGCUCGAGGUUCAGAAAAUAUCUGGGGAUAAAGUUCAUCUAGUCAUGAAAGAGAGAAAAGGCUCUUCUUUAUUCCUAGACGGAACUACCAUCAACUCCGGGUACAAAUCUCUCAUAGUACACGGAGCAAAGUUUGAGUUCAAGAGUGUGCAUGGACGAGAGUUUGUAACUGCUCGAGGUCCUCUCCUAGCUCCCAUACUGGUUGGGUUGACAGGGGUAGAAGGAGAGGAAGGAGAAGUUUACAUCAAAUAUACAUACGAACCUAAAGAAGACACUCUCUCCAGUAGAUCAAGGUACGAAUGGCAGACCCGAGGCUGGUCAACAUGUUCCGAGGAUUGUGGAGGAGGAGUUCAGAAGAUGAUUAUACGAUGCUACGAUAGCAUCACAGGGAACAGGGUUCAGAGAAAACAUUGCGGAGUAAAAAGAAACCGUCCCAGGACGGAGCAUCGGCCCUGCAACACGUUCCAGUGUGAGGCCGAGUGGGUGGAGGGAGACUGGGAGAACUGCGACCAAACCUGUGGGAAAACUGGAACUCAAUACAGAGGUGUUUUGCUUGCCCAGCCAUGAGAAUAGAACAGAUCAAAUCUGGAGAAACAUGGUGGAUGUUAGAUUCUGCGUCCAACCAAAACCAGAACAGAUAAGAGAGUGCAAUCGUGUUCCCUGUCCUGUCUACUGGUUGGAGCAGGGUUGGGGACCUUGUUCAGUAUCUUGCGGAGCAG
This 3411-nucleotide unclassified non-coding RNA is filed under the name Eurytemora carolleeae. Its description in RNAcentral is "a disintegrin and metalloproteinase with thrombospondin motifs 3". Lineage: Eukaryota; Metazoa; Arthropoda; Copepoda; Calanoida; Temoridae. The record is from RNAcentral.